AGCAGGAAACCUUCUCUGCCCAAAGCAUGUCACAGUCUUAUAUUUUCUACCAUCUCUCACUGAAGCAUGGAUUCAACGGAGCAACAAGGAUAUUAGGAUAGAAGCCGGGAAGUAAAGAAUAAACGUAAUAAUCUCAACAGAAAGUCGGGAUCUCUCUUACCUGAUUUUUCACAGAUCCAUUAAAAGAUACAUCAGACAAAAGAACUGCGAAAGAGUAAUUUUGCUGGAUAUCCACUUAUUCCAAUUCAGCCAUUUGCAGACAGUGUGAGAAUUCUGGUGGGGUUGUUGACCCCUCUUUGCUCUGGGACAGUGCAAACCUGCCUCUGUUUUAACCACAGGUGCCGUUUUGUGGGCUUGGUUCCUUAAGUACCUAGCAAUGAGGGUCCUGGUCUAAGGGAGGUGCCCUGGCAGACACUGCUGGCUUCUUGUACCCAAAGGAGGAAGGAUCUGGACUGCCCCACCUGGACCUCAGGUGAAAACAGCAAUGUCUGGAGUUAGCAAAUACAAGUCCUGGUCUCCAAGGAUCUACUCUACCUGCUCUGAAAAUGUAUAAAAUUAUUAUUGUAAGAGAGAAAUAAACAUCUAUCCCUUUAAGGACCAUUAUUUCGAGACCCCACUUCAGCAGCUACAAUGAUGUAACUGAUACAGUUAGUAAUUAAUAGUUUAGUUGUAUUACUACCAAGAAAUAUGAAAUCUAUAAAAUGCAUGUCCUAGUUCUAUAUAGAAUAUGCUAUUUUAGCUAUCUAAGAAAUUAUAAAGUUUUAUGAGUAUUUACUACUGUUUUUAUAAAUUUUCUAUUAGAUAACUGUAUGCUGUCUUAAGUUAUAUAUAUAUAUACAUGCAUGCAUACAUACAUAUACACAUUAUUCAAUCCACCUUAUUAGUCAUGUCAUACUUUGCAUAUCAUGCUCAACAGCAUGGUAUAGAAUACUGAUGAGUUUCCAUCAAAAUAAAAAUGUUU
Microtus oregoni (creeping vole) is the source of this 961-nucleotide long non-coding RNA. RefSeq lists it as uncharacterized. The transcript has 5 exons. NCBI's taxonomy places the organism in Eukaryota, Metazoa, Chordata, Mammalia, Rodentia, Cricetidae. The record is from RefSeq and is a predicted model, not a curated record.